Molecule: ribosomal RNA, 467 nt
Filed under: uncultured bacterium
Lineage: Bacteria
Description: partial 16S ribosomal RNA
Rfam family: Bacterial small subunit ribosomal RNA
Source: RNAcentral
ACGCACGCUGGCGGCGUGCUUAACACAUGCAAGUCGCACGGAAAGGCCCCGCUUUUGUGGGGUGCUCGAGUGGCGAACGGGUGAGUAACACGUGAGUAACCUGCCCUUGACUUUGGGAUAACUUCAGGAAACUGGGGCUAAUACCGGAUAGGAGCUCCUGCUGCAUGGUGGGGGUUGGAAAGUUUCGGCGGUUGGGGAUGGACUCGCGGCUUAUCAGCUUGUUGGUGGGGUAGUGGCUUACCAAGGCUUUGACGGGUAGCCGGCCUGAGAGGGUGACCGGCCACAUUGGGACUGGGAUACGGCCCAGACUCCUACGGGAGGCAGCAGUGGAGAAUAUUGCACUAUGGGCGGAAGCCUGAUGCAGCAAAGCCGCAUGCGGGAUGACGGCCUUCGGGUUGUAAACCGCUUUCGCCUGUGACGAAGCGUGAGUGACGGUAAUAGGUAAAGAAGCACCGGCUAACUACGUG